Molecule: long non-coding RNA, 3544 nt
Organism: Monodelphis domestica (gray short-tailed opossum)
Lineage: Eukaryota; Metazoa; Chordata; Mammalia; Didelphimorphia; Didelphidae
Source: RefSeq, a predicted model, not a curated record
UGUGCAAGUAGGUUUUAUAUGACUUCUAGAACAGGAAUUGCAUUUCUUGACUUCUCAAUGGAUAGAGGAAGGAAUAGAAGAAGGGAGAAAAUUUGGAACUGAAAACAAAAACAAGAAAAUGAAUGACAGUCAAGAAAACCUGCAGUGCAUUAGUGUGCCUGUCGUCUACUAUCCCCUUCAGCAUUGAUUAUUCCCAACUUGCAUCCUUUUUUACAGUUUGCUGGAUUGGAGGUAAAAGCUCUCCUUUGUUUUGAUUUACCUUUUUCUUAUCUUUCAUGAGUAGUUAAUAGUUUGUGAUUCUCAUUUUGAUCAUUGUUUUGGAGAAUAGCUUUUGAUCUUACAUAUGUAAUACAGAUAUGUCCACAUUGGUCGAAACGUGCGGAUGUGACUAAUGGGUGGCAUGGAUCACUAUGAACUCGGGCUUGGCUCACCAUUGUGAAGAGGAGAACAAAAUGGCAGUAUUUGUCCUGCUUAGCGCACUAACUGAGGGGGAAGAGGACAUCGAGUCUGGGCACUUUAUUUCAAUGUCUGAGACAAGUAGCAACCUUCAAUUAAAUGAAAUGUCUUCCAUAUCUCAAAUUUCCAAUGGGUAGAGAAUCAAAGAUAAAGGAUAACUCUGAUCACCUUUGAGAUCCCCAAGUUAGCUCUUUCUUACCAGUUUCUGGGUAUACAAAAGACACAUAAAGAAUAUCAAGAAAACCCAUUCAUCUAAUAAGCAGAACUUGGAGAAGUGAUGCAGAUUAGUGAAGGAAUCCUUCAGCUAGGAGUGGGGUAAUUCCAGCUUGAGCAGGGCAGAAAGAAAGCGUAAUGUCCCAUGGAAGAAGUUUAUUACCCUGGAAGGAAAUAUCUUGGAAUUGGAGGAAUAAAACCUCUGCCUCUUUAUUCUGCCUUGACCAGAGGCCAACUUUGUAAACUUUGGAAUGUCAGAGAAUUUGUACUUUAUAAUCCAUGUCGUAACACGUUCCAGGGAAAACUAUUCCUGGAAGCAUCGCUAACAUUGGGAGUCAAAGACAGACUAUAUGCACUUAGGAAGGGCAGCUUCAGUACUCUCUGUGAAGCCCAGAAAACAAUUCUACAUUGUGCUCAUCAAGAAAAUCCUGGGAACUCCAGGAAGGAGAGGAGUCGUGUGAGUCAUCUGCUUUAUUCCAUGUGGAGGACACUUGCGAGGCAGGUUGUAGAACUUCUGUGUAUCACUAGAAUCAUUGACUCACAGAUCCAGUGCAGGAAAGGAGCGUGGAAGCCUAAUCCAAAGCCUUCAUUUCACAGGUGACAUCUGAACUAGUCCUAUUUAAUAUCCGACUCAUCCAAGCUGUAACCGAAAUAAAAGCAUGCAGUGCAACAGCAAUGAGGCACAUCUGCUAGCCAGAACUAGCCAAGCCACUCAUUCCACUUCCAAGCUCUCCUCAGGAUGCAACAUCUCUGAUGGGUAGAUCAUUCUGUUGUUUUCUGGGUUUAUUCUUUGAUGGUCAGCUGCAGUCUUUUUCCUUCUUCAGUUACUUCAGUCCUCUGGACCAAAGGACACAACCCUCCUUAAAGCCGGACUGUUAUGAUGCUCUUUUGAGCUUGAGUGGGACAAAAGGUCGUUUAGCUAGUACAAUGACUCUUGUUAGGACUGCCAGCAACUUUUCCCCUUUGAGCCCCUCAGUACUUUAGUUGGCUUAUUGUUAGUCAACUCUACCUGGAUGUCUUGCCUUCCACAGUUUUUCUAUUCUAAAGCCCCUUCUCUGUAAACAAUUCCUUGUUCCCAUUGGUUGCUUCCCGUACUCUGGAAAAUCUUAUGUAGGUUGGUGACUAGGGACAAUCGUGCAAAUACCUGGAAAGCAGCAAGCACUUAAUAAAUGUUUGUCGACUGACCAGCGAACUAAAUGAGAUCACUGAGUGGACAGACACCCCCUUAUCACUGCAGCUUGUUCCUCUUAGAGAUUUAAAAUCUUUAGAGGGAGAGUACUGUCCCUAUCAUUCGCCUGUCCGGUCCAUAUUGUAAGUCCGCACGACAACACAAGCUCUAUUUCUGCCUCUUUUUCAUUUUUGGAUCAAGUCACCUCAAUGGAUUUCCUACCUUUUACUAAGAAAUAGAAGAUACUUCCUAGAGCUGUAAAUUCCUUAAAUGGGCAGAGACUUUAUUUUAUUUAUCCUCUGCCUUUAUCAGUGCCUUACAGAGCAAGUUAGACACGGCGAGUACUUUAAUCAAGGCGUGUUGAGUGAAUAUAACGCUACUAUUCUUUCUCGUCUAGCCAAUGUGUCCAUUCAUUGCCAGAAUUCAGUAAUGAUUCUCAUUCCAUUUCAAUAAGCCUUAAUGGUACUUGUCUCUAUUUUUCUCCUUGUGCUAACAUUUCACGUUCACGUUUACACACUGCCCAGGUUAUAUGGAUAUCGGAAAUAAAAAAUGGAGGCCCUCUCCUGUUUAAUGUGUUCCUGGGUGCACCUCUCUCUGCUACUGCUCUUUGUGGUGGCAGCGAGCAGUGCACCUCACUCACAUCUAAUCCAUUCUCUGUUGCUAGGUUAUUCAAGAAACACAGAAGUCCAAAAGCAAAAUCAAUUAGUGCUGACAUGAAACAACACGCACGGAAGGGAAUCAGGGAGUCAAAAAACUUCCUAAGCAUCUGUACACAAAUAAUAACAGUGCAUCUCUGCCCUGAGUAGGAGCCCCUUGAAGUGGUUGCUUAUACUCAAAGGCUGUUUAAAAUGAUCAUUGUGUAAAACAUGGUAUUUGAUCCACCUUAAUGAAACUAUGCAGUGGAAAUUAAAAUGCUACUCCUACUUCCUUAUUAUUUGGACUAAUCAGGACCUAGCAGUCUCUUGGGGUGGGGGGAGGAAUGAUCUAAUUCCUCCUUAGUUUAUAUGAUUCUCCAAUAUGGCCCCAGUGGUAAGCUCUUAGGGUAUGCGGGGGAGGCUAGCAUAAUCAUUUUCAAAGGGAAUCUGUACAAUAGGAAAAAAGCAAUAUUAAAAAAAAACCUGCUGUGAAGUAUUUCAUUUUUGUGAUUCUUUCACAAUUUACAGAAGAAAUGGCACAUGAGGGAAGUUUUCUUUUCUUUGGAGAAUCAUAAAUAAAAUCGUGGUGUAAUCAAAGGACUGAAGAAAAAAGAGACUUCAGCUUUCCCCUCCUGGAACCUCUUACAGAGGCUCUGGCACUCCAAACCAGUGUCUUGGAAGUCGCCUGGCCCACUUCAGGGGAAGAUAUACUCCUGACAGCUCAAGCUGACUCCAUGAACACAUUUGGAGAGUGAGUUGCUUGUGGAAAUGUGAUGGCUGGGAUCCAGAGUACUAUUCUUUCUUCUCCUCAUUGUGGGUUAAUUGGAUAUGCGCAAUGUUGCUUCAGGUCGUGUAUCCGGUUUGAUCUGAGCUUGGAAAAUGGCAUAAAACCCUGGUGCAACUGUGUUAUGCCAGGAAUGUUUGAUGGACAGGUCAAGCUACUCAGGAGGGGAAGGGAAUGAACUUCCUUGACACAAUAUCUUUUUGUCACAUGAUGCCUUUUUUAAUGGGGAUGGAAGGAGGAGAGGGAGUUUACUUGGCAGUUUUUUUAACUUGGCAUUUUAAUGUAACA